GAUGAACGCUGGCGGCGUGCCUAAUACAUGCAAGUCGAGCGAACGGACGAGAAGCUUGCUUCUCUGAUGUUAGCGGCGGACGGGCGAGUAACACGUGGAUAACCUACCUAUAAGACUGGGAUAACUUCGGGAAACCGUAGCUAAUACCGGAUAAUAUUUUGAACCGCAUGGUUCAAAAGUGAAAGACGGUCUUGCUGUCACUUAUAGAUGGAUCCGCGCUGCAUUAGCUAGUUGGUAAGGUAACGGCUUACCAAGGCAACGAUGCAUAGCCGACCUGAGGGGGUGAUCGGCCACACUGGAACUGAGACACGGUCCAGACUCCUACGGGAGGCAGCAGUAGGGAAUCUUCCGCAAUGGGCGAAAGCCUGACGGAGCAACGCCGCGUGAGUGAUGAAGGUCUUCGGAUCGUAAAACUCUGUUAUUAGGGAAGAACAUAUGUGUAAGUAACUGUGCACAUCUUGACGGUACCUAAUCAGAAAGCCACGGCUAACUACGUG
This 497-nucleotide ribosomal RNA is filed under the name uncultured bacterium. Its description in RNAcentral is "partial 16S ribosomal RNA". It matches the Rfam family "Bacterial small subunit ribosomal RNA", at positions 28 to 507 of the family's 1533-position model. The record is from RNAcentral.